Molecule: small RNA, 108 nt
Filed under: human gut metagenome
Description: Ribosomal protein L10 leader
Rfam family: Ribosomal protein L10 leader
About the family: This family is a putative r-protein leader autoregulatory structure found in B. subtilis and other low-GC Gram-positive bacteria. It is located in the 5' untranslated regions of mRNAs encoding ribosomal proteins L10 and L12 (rplJ-rplL). A Rho-independent transcription terminator structure that is probably involved in regulation is included at the 3' end.
Source: RNAcentral
AAUUUUGAGAUCUAACCGUAGACAGCGGGUGCCGAAAAGGCUUAAUUUCCCGCCGAGGUACAAUAUAUAGAUAUUGACCCUGUCUUACGGCAGGGUUUUUUACAUUUA